CAGCCGCCGCGGGAACACGUAGGGUGCAAGCGUUAAUCGGAAUUACUGGGCGUAAAGCGUGCGCAGGCGGUUAUAUAAGACAGAUGUGAAAUCCCCGGGCUCAACCUGGGAACUGCAUUUGUGACUGUAUAGCUAGAGUACGGCAGAGGGGGAUGGAAUUCCGCGUGUAGCAGUGAAAUGCGUAGAUAUGCGGAGGAACACCGAUGGCGAAGGCAAUCCCCUGGGCCUGUACUGACGCUCAUGCACGAAAGCGUGGGGAGCAAACAGGAUUAGAUACCCCUGUGUCCCUGUCUCUUAUACA
Molecule: ribosomal RNA, 301 nt
Filed under: uncultured bacterium
Lineage: Bacteria
Description: partial 16S ribosomal RNA
Rfam family: Bacterial small subunit ribosomal RNA
Source: RNAcentral